GAUUUCUGGCACGAUGUGCCUGGCCCGCGCCGUUAGGUUGUGAGUGCUGGGUUGCGUCUGCCAUCCUUCCAGAGAGCGGCUCUACCCCUCACGGGGCCGGAGUUCGCCAUCUGGAUCUUUUACUUUGAAAAAAUUAGAGUGUUUCAAGCAGGCUUUAUGCUAUGAAUACAUUAGCAUGGAAUAAUAAUUUAGGACUUCGGUUCUAUUUUGUUGGUUUCUAGGACUGAAGUAAUGAUUGAUAGGGAUAGUUGGGGGUGCUAGUAUUCAGCGGCCAGAGGUGAAAUUCUCGGAUUCGCUGAAGACUAACUUAUGCGAAAGCAUU
This 322-nucleotide ribosomal RNA is filed under the name Glissomonadida sp. RNAcentral describes it as "SSU rRNA". The stretch from base 103 to 322 matches the Rfam family "Eukaryotic small subunit ribosomal RNA", at positions 735 to 955 of the family's 1831-position model. Lineage: Eukaryota; Cercozoa; Glissomonadida. The record is from RNAcentral.